CCUACGGGUGGCAGCAGUGGGGGAUAUUGCACCAUGGAGGAAACUCUGAUGCAGCGACGCCGCGUGCGGGAAGACGGUCUUCUGAUUUUAAACCUCUGUCUUUAGGGAAGAAAAUGACGGUACCCAAAUAGGAAGCUCCGUCUAACUACGUUCCAGCAGCCGCGGUAAUACGUAGGUAGCGAGCGUUGUCCGGAUUUACUGGGUGUAAAGGGAGCGUAGGCGGGCGAGAAAGUUGAUUGUUAAAUCUACCGGCUUAACUGGUAGCUGCGUUCAAAACUUCUUGUCUUGAGUGAAGUAGAGGCAGGCGGAAUUCCUAGUGUAGCGGUGAAAUGCGUAGAUAUUAGGAGGAACACCAGUGGCGAAGGCGGCCUGCUGGGCUUUAACUGACGCUGAGGCUCGAAAGCGUGGGGAGCAAACAGGAUUAGAUACCCUUGUAGUC
This 439-nucleotide ribosomal RNA is filed under the name uncultured bacterium. RNAcentral's name for it is "partial 16S ribosomal RNA". It matches the Rfam family "Bacterial small subunit ribosomal RNA", at positions 338 to 795 of the family's 1533-position model. The record is from RNAcentral.